GUGACUCAGAGGUGGGGGAAGAGGAGGGACCUGCAAUGUGGUCUCAGUCUGAAAAUUUUUGGGAAUGAGCUUAGUUUCGUGGACUGUGGGGCAGUGAGAAGCCACAUGAAGAGGUACUCCCUGAACCUGGCUGAACUGACUGUCAGACUCCUCAAGGGUCAGGAGGUGCAGAUUAACAGAAGGCUGAGCUUGGCAACCGAAGAGCUCUCCUUUCCAACUGUGUCGGGCCUCCCUGUGCAAUUAGCCUUGAACGCAUCAGCUGCCAUCCACAUCCGGAUACGGGGGACCGUGGACUUCAAGCAGCUUUCGGAUUUCUCCUUGGAGGGCUAUAUUAAGCCAAGUGCCUUGAUACAGAUCGCAGCUCAGAUGGGUGUGGCAGGCUUCCAUGGGAAAGCAGGGGUGAAGUGGGUGACUGGCAUUCGAAGUUCCACCAGCCUCGAUGGAGGAAUCAUGGCGAAAAGGGGACAGGAGCUCAAGAUGUUUCUGAAUACGCCGGAGGAAUCCAUGGAACUGGUGAAUUUCAGCUCUAAGCUGUAUCUCAUGACUGUGGAUGGUGUGAUGAAUAUUGAC
Molecule: long non-coding RNA, 570 nt
Organism: Vombatus ursinus (common wombat)
Lineage: Eukaryota; Metazoa; Chordata; Mammalia; Diprotodontia; Vombatidae
Source: Ensembl